Molecule: long non-coding RNA, 864 nt
Organism: Camelus dromedarius (Arabian camel)
Lineage: Eukaryota; Metazoa; Chordata; Mammalia; Artiodactyla; Camelidae
Exons: 5
Source: RefSeq, a predicted model, not a curated record
CUUAUUGACUGAAAAAUUUACAAAGACUGAAUUGUUUUUAUGUAGUCUUAGUAUGGAAGAAAAGAUUGUCAGUGAGUAUUCACAAUUUGGUUACUGAGACCCUCGAAUUCCCAUAUGAAUUGUAGCAGCAGCUAGUCAGUUUCUGCAGUGGAGCCAGCUGGGAUUGUGAUCGAAACCACGUUGUAUGUAUGGAUCGCUCUGGGGAGCACUGCCAUUCCAAGAGCGCUGUCUUCUGAUCCAGGAAUGUGCGUGGUGUGUCUGUCCAGCUUGCAGGUGCCCUCACCUCCAGUGGCAUCCAUCCAGACACCAGCACUGACACUGGCCGUGCUCAGAACUGCCUCAGCCCUGAAGACACAACUGACAAAUAGAAGGGGGCCAUGCCCUGUUACAGCAGGUGCUCUCACUUUGUGGGUCUUUCUGUAACUGCGCGUUGUUAUUCAGGAUCGCCUGUUCUUCAUUUUGUGAUGCUGCUGCGGUGCCUCCUAGUUAUUUGUUUCUGAUCUGAGAAGCAGGAGCAAGGAACGCAGGGAGAGAUCCAGGAAGACAUCUGACUGUGUUAAGAGACGACAGUCACAGCGACACGGGGAGUGAAGACACUUGCAGCAAAUGUAAGAAUGCUGGUGACUCAGAAGCAUGCUUCAAAGCUGUCCGUGUCCUUGACAUCCAGAAGCGGAGCCUGGAAGCUUCCGAAUUUCUCCAGAAUGUGGUUUACAUUCACCUUGACAGGUGAGUGUAUGUCCUUUUACAAGUGGAGGAAUUACUGCAGUUUUCCUGGAAAUUAUUCACCACUAGUCCAUCUGAUUUUUCUGUGCUAGGAUUCAGUAUGGUAUACUAAAAAUUCUGGAGUCAGAUCUUAAUACCCUG